Molecule: long non-coding RNA, 1827 nt
Filed under: Equus caballus (horse)
Lineage: Eukaryota; Metazoa; Chordata; Mammalia; Perissodactyla; Equidae
Description: lncRNA (ENSECAG00000045370.1)
Source: RNAcentral
GUGCAGCCAAGGUUGAGAAGUCUCUCUUAGAUUAGCGCUUCUCAAACAUUAAUAUCCACAGGAUAUUAAUACCAGGGAAGAUCUCCUCAAAAUGCAGGUUCUGUUUCCCUAGAUUGAAGUUUGGCUAGAGGUUUUACAGUUCCAACAAGCCCCCAGGUGAUGCUGAUACUGCUGAUCAGAGGAUAUUUUCAGCAACAAAAUCUUAGAGGGAAGCAAGUGCCAGGUGUUAAGACCCUCCUUCGAAGUGAUGGGUCAUCAUUGACAGAACGGUGCAGGUUCACAGAUGCCACAAUGCACUAGAAUGCCAGCUGCCUAGUGGGACAUUCAUAACAGUAUGAAGAGCACUUUAUUAUAGUUACAGCUUGAUCACCUCGACUCUUCUGAAAACCAUGCAAGAGAGUUUACGAGUCCGCAUUCAACAGACGUAAAUACUGAGACCCGAAGAUGAUUCUCGAUCCAGGACCGUUACUACACUUGUCUACAAAGAAAUGUUAAUAUCAAUGUUUCUAUUAAACCCAGAUGUAGCCUCUAAUUUAUAAUAAGCAUUGUAAACCAGUGCUUCUCAAAUGCUAAUGUGCAUACAAAUCCCUGGGGUCUUGAUAACAAGCAGACUGAUCCAGCAGGUCCGAGUGGAGACACUGGUGGGUGGAGACAAGCUCCAGGUGAUGUGAUGCUGCCUGACCAUGGACCUUGGGCAUCAAGGAACUCAACCUGACCUCGGUGGCUUUGGCUGUGUCAGCUCUGACAUUUAUUGGAUUCAGCGUUCUCUGCUGUGGCGUCGUUUUCAUCAUUCCCCUACGUUACAAAGCACUUAGCAAACACAGUGGCUGAAAAAAUGGACUGAGAGUUCUGUGCUUUGGCACUGUUUAUCUCCAUUAACAAAUGGGAAACAGUGCUUUGGAAAAAUGUGGGUUUUUUCUCAUUGUACUCUAAGUCAUCUUCUAAAAGCUAAAUGUAAGUGAUACAUAGGCUCAACAUUUCAGCCUUCAUAGUUUUAAUUCAGAGGCUUACCUGUGGGACUUGAUUGAGUGGCAACACUGGUAUGCAAAGGAAAAUAUCUACAAAGUUAGCAUUGCUUCAUAUCUUCAGUAUCUUUACUUCUUCAUUUGAACACAGAUGUGUGGAAAACUCACAAUUUUUACUUCGCAAAAGUAACCAAUCCGUGUUUUGUUGGUGGUGGGAUUUUUCUUGUUUUUUUAAUUUGGUCUGGUUUUUUGGUUUUUUAAAGUUAUUCACUCUUACCUUUAAGAUAAAUACUUUUCUUGGCUUGUGUCAGAAAAAAAUGACCAACUUUCCAAAGAUGAAUUCCAACCUAAGAACGCAGGCAGCUCUUGACGUCAAAAUCGAGACGUCAAAGAGGAGAGCAGUGUUUGUUUGGAAAAAGAUCUGCCAGUUGACAGUGUCCUGAAAAUCAGCCUCUUACAGUUCCCAAGAGGACUGACAGAAGAGUUUUCAAAGGUCUCCAAAACUGUCUGCUCUUUGUUUGGGGGAAAAAGAGAAAAGAAUGAGAAACAUCACCCCUUUGACACACAUACACACUCAAACACACCUACACUCACUGUGGUGUGAGCGUGUUCUCGUUCUUUGUUUUUGGAAAGUUACCACAUUUUUCAGCAAUGACAGAGAAUAAUGGUGUCUCCUUACCCUUGCACAAACCAUCACGUUAAUGUUUGUGACAGAUUAUUGCACAAAUGACCCCAGUCCUCCACUCCUCCCUAUGUCUCUGGUGGUGCCAUCCCACACUGACUCUGUGUGGGAGGAAUGAGACUUGUUUUGGCCAAUAGGAGAGCAGCAAACUUGAUGCAAGCAGAAGCUUGUAAAAGUAUG